GCCUAAUACAUGCAAGUCGAGCGGACAGAAGGGAGCUUGCUCCCGGAUGUUAGCGGCGGACGGGUGAGUAACACGUGGGUAACCUGCCUGUAAGACUGGGAUAACUCCGGGAAACCGGAGCUAAUACCGGAUAGUUCUUUGAACCGCAUGGUUCAAGGAUGAAAGACGGUUUCGGCUGUCACUUACAGAUGGACCCGCGGCGCAUUAGCUAGUUGGUGGGGUAAUGGCUCACCAAGGCGACGAUGCGUAGCCGACCUGAGAGGGUGAUCGGCCACACUGGGACUGAGACACGGCCCAGACUCCUACGGGAGGCAGCAGUGUUACAUCUUCCGCAAUGGACGAAAGUCUGACGGAGCAACGCCGCGUGAGUGAUGAAGGUUUUCGGAUCGUAAAGCUCUGUUGUUAGGGAAGAACAAGUGCGAGAGUAACUGCUCGCACCAUGACGGUACCUAACCAGAAAGCCACGGCUAACUACGUGCCAGCAGCCGCGGUAAUACGUAGGUGGCAAGCGUUGUCCGGAAUUAUUGGGCGUAAAGGGCUCGCAGGCGGUUUCUUAAGUCUGAUGUGAAAGCCCCCGGCUCAACCGGGGAGGGUCAUUGGAAACUGGGAAACUUGAGUGCAGAAGAGGAGAGUGGGGUUCCACGUGUAGCGGUGAAAUGCGUAGAGAUGUGGAGGAACACCAGU
Molecule: ribosomal RNA, 684 nt
Filed under: Bacillus sp. (in: firmicutes)
Lineage: Bacteria; Bacillati; Bacillota; Bacilli; Caryophanales; Bacillaceae
Description: bacterial SSU rRNA
Rfam family: Bacterial small subunit ribosomal RNA
Source: RNAcentral